This 1828-nucleotide ribosomal RNA is filed under the name Cordana terrestris. Its description in RNAcentral is "eukaryotic LSU rRNA". The stretch from base 466 to 1828 matches the Rfam family "Eukaryotic large subunit ribosomal RNA", at positions 1 to 1427 of the family's 3401-position model. Lineage: Eukaryota; Fungi; Ascomycota; Sordariomycetes; Coniochaetales; Cordanaceae. The record is from RNAcentral.
CGAGUUGAAAAACUCCCAAACCCUUGUGAACAUACCUAACGUUGCUUCGGCGGUGCGGCCCUAGGCCGCUGCCUCCUCGUGAGGCGCCCGCCGGAGGUUUACAAACUCUAUGUAUUAUAUUGUUUUCUCUGAGUUGUCUUUUAAAUAAGUCAAAACUUUCAACAACGGAUCUCUUGGUUCUGGCAUCGAUGAAGAACGCAGCGAAAUGCGAUAAGUAAUGUGAAUUGCAGAAUUCAGUGAAUCAUCGAAUCUUUGAACGCACAUUGCGCCCGCUAGUAUUCUAGCGGGCAUGCCUGUUCGAGCGUCAUUUCAACCCUCAAGCACUGCUUGGUGUUGGGGCCCUACAGCUUCUGUAGGCCCUGAAAACUAGUGGCGGGCUCGCUAUAACUCCGAGCGUAGUAGUAAUAUCUCGCUUAGGACGUGAUGGCGGGAUCCGGCCGUUAAACCCCCCAAUUUUCUGAAUGUUGACCUCGGAUCAGGUAGGAAUACCCGCUGAACUUAAGCAUAUCAAUAAGCGGAGGAAAAGAAACCAACAGGGAUUGCCCUAGUAACGGCGAGUGAAGCGGCAACAGCUCAAAUUUGAAAUCUGGCUUCGGCCCGAGUUGUAAUUUGUAGAGGAUGCUUUUGGCGCGGUGCCUUCUGAGUUCCCUGGAACGGGACGCCAUAGAGGGUGAGAGCCCCGUAUAGUUGGACACCAAGCCUUUGUAAAGCUCCUUCGACGAGUCGAGUAGUUUGGGAAUGCUGCUCAAAAUGGGAGGUAAAUUUCUUCUAAAGCUAAAUACCGGCCAGAGACCGAUAGCGCACAAGUAGAGUGAUCGAAAGAUGAAAAGCACUUUGAAAAGAGGGUUAAAUAGCACGUGAAAUUGUUGAAAGGGAAGCGCUUAUGACCAGACUUGUUCCCGGUUGAUCAUCCAGUGUUCUCACUGGUGCACUCUGCCGGGGUCAGGCCAGCGUCGGUUCUCGCAGGGGGAUAAAAGCUUCGGGAACGUAGCUCCUCCGGGAGUGUUAUAGCCCGUUGCACAAUACCCUUGUGGGGACCGAGGUACGCGCUCUGCAAGGACGCUGGCGUAAUGGUCAUCAGCGACCCGUCUUGAAACACGGACCAAGGAGUCGAGGUUUUGCGCGAGUGUUUGGGUGUAAAACCCGCACGCGUAAUGAAAGUGAACGUAGGUGAGAGCUUCGGCGCAUCAUCGACCGAUCCUGAUGUAUUCGGAUGGAUUUGAGUAAGAGCGUAUAGCCUCGGACCCGAAAGAUGGUGAACUAUGCCUGUAUAGGGUGAAGCCAGAGGAAACUCUGGUGGAGGCUCGCAGCGGUUCUGACGUGCAAAUCGAUCGUCAAAUAUGGGCAUGGGGGCGAAAGACUAAUCGAACCAUCUAGUAGCUGGUUACCGCCGAAGUUUCCCUCAGGAUAGCAGUGUUGUCUUCAGUUUUAUGAGGUAAAGCGAAUGAUUAGGGACUCGGGGGCGCUUUUUAGCCUUCAUCCAUUCUCAAACUUUAAAUAUGUAAGAAGCCCUUGUUACUUAAUUGAACGUGGGCAUUCGAAUGUACCAACACUAGUGGGCCAUUUUUGGUAAGCAGAACUGGCGAUGCGGGAUGAACGAACGCGGGGUAAGGUGCCGGAGUGGACGUCAUCAGACCCACAAAAGGGUUAGUCAUCUUGACGCAGGACGUGGCCAUGGAAUCGGAUCCGCUAAGGAUGUGUAACACUCACCUGCCAAAUGACUAGCCCUGAAAUGGAGGGGGUCAAGGUCCACCAUACCCCGCCUUAGGGAAAACAUGCCUAAGAAAGGGGCCUGGAGUCUUGAAAACCAGGGUGACCGGCACCUAGU